GACGAACGCUGGCGGCGUGCUUAACACAUGCAAGUCGAACGGAAAGGCCCUGCUUUUGUGGGGUUCUCGAGUGGCGAACGGGUGAGUAACACGUGAGUAACCUGCCCUUGACUUUGGGAUAACUUCAGGAAACUGGGGCUAAUACCGGAUAGGAGCUCCUGCUGCAUGGUGGGGGUUGGAAAGUUUCGGCGGUUGGGGUUGGACUCGCGGCUUAUCAGCUUGUUGGUGGGGUAGUGGCUUACCAAGGCUUUGACGGGUAGCCGGCCUGAGAGGGUGACCGGCCACAUUGGGACUGAGAUACGGCCCAGACUCCUACGGGAGGCAGCAGUGGGGAAUAUUGCACAAUGGGCGGAAGCCUGAUGCAGAAACGCCGCGUGCGGGAUGACGGCCUUCGGGUUGUAAACAGCUUUCGCCUGUGACGAAGCGUGAGUGACGGUAAUGGGUAAAGAAGCACCGGCUAACUACGUG
RNAcentral lists this ribosomal RNA (468 nucleotides) under uncultured bacterium. Its description in RNAcentral is "partial 16S ribosomal RNA". It matches the Rfam family "Bacterial small subunit ribosomal RNA", at positions 28 to 507 of the family's 1533-position model. The record is from RNAcentral.